CAAGCCGCCACCUACGGCCAGCCCUCGGGCCGUCUUGCUUGACCACGCUCAGGGUGCGCCGCCGGCUCUCGAGGCCUCUUGCUCCGACCCCACAUAGGGCGCGCAAGCGACUGGGGCCGAGGAGGAGACCCAGGUGGAGCACGCCAUCUCUGUCGACCGGAGGAGCACCAGGUAUUUCACUCAAAUAGUCGACGCCGCGAGAGGGAGAUAGAAGUAGAAGUGGAGGCAGAAGCAAGAGGAAGGUGGACCUCGAGGUGUCGCGGCGCUCGGGCCUUGGUAGACUACGCCGCCCCUUUGCUCUCGCGCCGCCAGGGCCCUCUUGCUCUCAGGUUCCUCUCUCUCUCUCUCUCUAUCUCUCUCUCUCUCUCUCUCUCUCUCUCUCCUAUGCAUCUCCAUCAAUGGCCACUGUCUGAUUUGUUGUUGAUUUGGUAGGACAAUCUUGGCUGACUACUUGGUCCUGCUGUGGUUGGUUCCGGAUCUGACUGCACACCUCCCGUCCGUUGUCCGCCGUUUGCUCGCUGGCCGCCAUUAGAAAGGUUCGUUCUUCCAUCCUUGUUUCUCCUUCCAGACGUCCCGCUCUUCGCACCUCAUGCAUGUUUGUUGGUUUCGGCUGCACAGGGUGGUUGUGAGGGUUUGGUGCCAGGGUCAUUGAUGGGUCAGUGGUUGUUGUUCCUUCAAAUUUAAUCGUCCUUCCUCCUGCAUCUCUGGCUAAGGUGCUUAUCU
RNAcentral lists this long non-coding RNA (723 nucleotides) under Triticum aestivum (bread wheat). RNAcentral's name for it is "long non-coding RNA (TAES_LNC027885)". The record is from RNAcentral. Lineage: Eukaryota; Viridiplantae; Streptophyta; Magnoliopsida; Poales; Poaceae.